Molecule: unclassified non-coding RNA, 319 nt
Filed under: uncultured fungus
Lineage: Eukaryota; Fungi
Description: partial contains small subunit ribosomal RNA, internal transcribed spacer 1, and 5.8S ribosomal RNA
Rfam family: Eukaryotic small subunit ribosomal RNA (bases 1-73)
Source: RNAcentral
ACAAACUUGGUCAUUUAGAGGAAGUAAAAGUCGUAACAAGGUUUCCGUAGGUGAACCUGCGGAAGGAUCAUUAGUGAAAUCGAGGCUUCGGCCGCGAAACACACACGCCGCUCGCCGGCUGUGCGCCCUCCGGGGGCUUGCACGUCGGCGCGGCACCCCAUUCCACACACCUGUGCACGAUUCGGACGCCUCGGUGAACCUCGCGGUCCGCCGGCGUUCGCCCCACACACAAACUCUGUACACGAAUGUCAUCAUGCCAUAAUGUAAUACAACUUUCAACAACGGAUCUCUUGGCUCUCGCAUCGAUGAAGAACGCAGC